UAGCCCCCAUAAGGCCCCAUAGGCCCCAUAAGGGCCCACAGCCUCCAUAGCCCCAUAGGACCCCAUAGCCCCAUAAGGCCCCACAGCCCCCAUAGCCCCAUAAGGCCCCAGAGCCGCCCCAUAGGGCCCCAUAGCCCCAUAAGGCCCCACAUCCCAUAGCCCCCAUAAGGCCCCACAGCCGCCCCAUAGGGCCCCAUAGACCCCAUAACCGCCAUAGCCCCCCCACACCCCAUAGCCCCAUAAGGCCCCACAACCCCAUAAGGCCCCACAGCCCCCAUAGCCCCAUAAGGCCCCACAGCCCCCAUAAGGCCCCACAGCCCCCCCAUAAGGCCCCAUAGCCCCAUAAGGUCCCACAGCCCCCAUAGUCCCCAUAAGGCCCCAUAAGCCCUAUAAGGCCUCAUAGCCCCCCCACACCCCAUAGCCCCACAAGGCCCCACAGCCCCCAUAGUCCCUAUAGGGCCCCAUAACCCCCAUAGCCCCCCCACACCCCACAGCCCCAUAAGGCCGCCCCAUAAGGCCCCACAGCCCCAUAAUG
RNAcentral lists this long non-coding RNA (535 nucleotides) under Gallus gallus (chicken). Its description in RNAcentral is "lncRNA (ENSGALG00010004100.1)". Lineage: Eukaryota; Metazoa; Chordata; Aves; Galliformes; Phasianidae. The record is from RNAcentral.